RNAcentral lists this long non-coding RNA (7771 nucleotides) under Solanum tuberosum (potato). RNAcentral's name for it is "long non-coding RNA (STUB_LNC011745)". Lineage: Eukaryota; Viridiplantae; Streptophyta; Magnoliopsida; Solanales; Solanaceae. The record is from RNAcentral.
AUCAGCUUUCUCAUCUACGUGAUUAUCCAUUUCUUCCACCUCAUCUCUCACCGGAAAAGGCGAGUCAGUAACCCUCAACUGUCUCCCAAACCCACGAAAAUAAUUAUCAGGUGACGUUGUUUCACCCUUAAUCAUCUCCAAUGCGGCUCUCAUUACCGCCGCAUUCAUCACCACAACAUCCUCUUCAUGACUAGUAGUGUGUUUUUUCAUGUCCAAAUUUGGGCUGCUAGUGCAGCUAAACUCAUAAUACUCAUCCUCAUGUGGAGGGCAAAAUGGUAAAUUACCACUCUCGACGUGAUCGGACCGAAGGUUUUUGUUUUGGUUGUGGUGGUGGAAGUGAAACAUGAGAUUUUGGACCACGACUUUGUAACUACCAAUCUUACUACGCUUCAUCAUUAAUUUGAUAUCGAGCAUUAUUUUCUGCUUUGAUAUACCUUUUCUUAACAUGCAUAAUGCCACUCGAACAAUUUUCCAAAACUUCUUUCCUACCACUACCAAAUUUUGAUCCAUUUGUGUGUGUGUGUGUUGGUGUUGUUGUUGCUAAUUGAAUUGGCAAGGCAAAAAGUAUAUGAAGGGGUAUAUAUAGUGGACCAUUUUAACGUUAAUAUGUUAAAGUGAGGAGUUAAGGGUCCAUUUGAUAUUUUGGAACAAAAAUCGAAUAUUUUAUUGACUCAAUUAUUAGUGGUGUUGGUGAUUUUUACACUAUACAACUUUAGGUCACUAUCACUCCCAAAUUAAUUGUGUGAUUAAUUAUUUUUUCCUCAGGGAAAUCAAUUUUAAUUUGGUCACGUAUGUCCCAAUUAAACACCUCUUUUCUUUUUUUCUGCUCCCCAUUCAACAAUUUUCUUCUUUAAUUAAUACCUCAAACCAUAUGAGAUCUCUAAAAAGUCACUUCUAACUUAAUUUCAAAUUAUUGAUAGUUGAUACUUGAUACUGGAAUUAAAUUAUUUAGGACAUGUCUUUUGCACUGAUGUUAUGGCUAGUCUGGUAAUGCGUGUUAAAUGCUUGUUCACUCUUAAUCAUAUAUUUUGAAUUUUGAUAGGAAAUGUUUAUUUGUUCACUUUUCAAUGUGAGUUCAGAUUAAUCAAACAUCAUAGAUCAAGUAGUCUCAAACUUUCGGCUUCAUGAAAAGAUAAUUAUUCUUAAUUCAGUCACUUAGCUCAAUAAUAAUGCUAUUUAGGUUUGUCUACUUAGAGGGGAGGAUAUUAUCUAGAUUUGAUCUUAAGAUAUUAUAAUCAACAAAUAGGAAGCAAACAAACAAAUAAAUUUUAAAAAUAACAAAUUAAUAUUACUACGUUAUUGCAAUUUUUUUGUUUGUAUACAAUUGUCUUUUCUCAACUUCUAGAAUAUGAGUUGAAAGGAUACCUCCAAAACCCUAGCAGCUAUUUGUUUGUUUGAAAAGUUUACUUAACAAGGUAGGUUUUCCAUGGCAUGUCCUCCACCCCCACCCCCCCUUCUUCUUUUUUACAAUAAAGUUUAUAAUUGUGGGCGUACACCAAUCAUGAACCUAAGUUUCUUUUUCUUUUUCUUUAUUAUAUUCUGUUUCUACAGUUAUCCCAUAUCCAAAGAGUGUAGUUCACAAUUAAUUUACUAUAUACUUCAUAAUUUAUGUAAUGUAAAUUAACUGAAUAUUAAAUGUAACAAGUAUAAGAAUACUUUGUAACAUUUCAAAAUAAUUUUUUUAGAUUUUUUGUCAAAUAAGUUGAAUCCAUUACAAAUAAAAUGGUAGAUAAACUUUACUGUAAUAAGGAUCUUAUUAUAUUUAAUUAAUCAUAUUUUUUUCUAUUAUUAAUGGUCCUGAAAAAAUUAGGUACCAAAAAGUACGUAACCAAGUAUACAAACCUUGUCUUUGCUUGCAUGGCUAGCGCCUAGUUGACUAGAACUAGUUGUUGGUCAAGGUCUCACCCUAAGGUUUAUUAUAAAAAGCAAAGUUUUUUUUUUUCAAUUUUGAGACUCAUAAUAGAUUCAAUUAUUCUUUUUUCUAGACUUUUGAAUUUUGUAAUCUUUAAUUAAAUAUAUGUUAAAUGUAUCAAAAUGUCUUUUAAUCUAAUGAUUUUAAACAUAUUAUGUGGAAAUUAAGUUGAAAUUAAAAAAUUUAGAUGAAAUAAUAGGACCCCCGCAAACUUUAGAUGUCCACUUCAGAAAAGGAGUAUAACUUUGAUGGUUAAUAUUUUCUCUUUUGACUAAUAUAACACUGCCGCAAUAAAUAAAGAAUUUUUCGGCAAUAAUAUAAUUAUUAUAUUAUAUUUAGGAGCAAUAACAAAUAUUAAUAUUUAUAACCAACAUAUUCGAUAUAAAUUCUGCUAAAUAUUUUAGCAACUCUAAAUAUAAUUGCAUUAAUUCAAUUAUAGCUAAAUAUUUUUACCGCUUAAAUUUUUUUCAUUGUCAUUAAAUUUCUCUUUUAUUAUAAUUCAUGUAUGUAUUUUGGUUGUGGUUUUAUUUGCAAGAUUUUUUAAUGUUCAAUGAACUCUAUCUAUCAAGAAGCUUGUAACCAUUAUAAUUAGCUUAACAAACUUUUACAACUUACUACUUUUGAACAAAAAUGUACUACCUAACUUAGAAAAAAGGAGUUCCAAAUUAUAUUUGUUUCAUUUUAACUUGGAAGAGUUUCUCUUCUCAUGCUUUUGCACUUCUUUUAAUCUCUGAAAAUGCUUUCUGAAGAUUUUUCGAGUUUUUAAUGGAGACAUUGAAAUUUUAUUUGAUAAAUUCAUGAUAGGUUGACCAAAUUAAAUUUUUGGUUAAUAAAGAUAGAUUAAUAUUUAAAUUAAAAUUAUAUACCUUAAAUAAAGUUCAAUUAUAUUUGAGUUAGUACUCUGUUAAGUUGACAAGAUGAAUCCAAUUAGUCAAACUCAUGUUCUGCAAGCCAAAGUCUGCUAGAAUUAUUUAGAGACAUCCAAAUCUUAACUCACGCCUAUAUAAAAGGAUCUUCGUAAAGUCAGAAGAAAACAAGAAGAAAGAAAUACAUAAAAAAAAAAAUUGUUAACACACAAAGAAGUCUUCGUCUCCAUUUGAUGAGCCGCAAGCUGUUAACGACAAAUAAAUAUUUAUACAAGAAAUGUAACAAUACAAAAAGUUGAUCCAUUGCAUGUGUUCAAUAUUGUUUAUUUUUAACUUGAAGACUUCUCAUUUCUCUUGCUUUUAGUUUCCACUUUUUAAAGCUCUUAGAAGUACUCUCUUGAAACUUUUCAAAGUUAAUAAUUGGCCAAAUUAAAUAGGGUACCCAUUGUUUUGGCCGUAUUGAUUGAAAAAGUUAAAAUUAUUUGAAAAAUUGACUUAAUUGAUUGAGUUACAUACCUAAUUCAACGUGCUUUGCAUUGGCAAUUGUACUUUAGCUUUAAGUUGAAGAAUGAAAUUUUUUAGAAUCGAUGGUUAAUAAAUUGAAUAAUCUUCUUGUAAGGUUUGGAUAAUCCUCCUUUUUUGAACUAAUUUUUCGAGUUAAGCUCAAAAUUUGUAUUCUUUUAAUAUUUUGACCCCCCCAAAAAAGAACUUUUUUCUUUUUUCUCCAAAAUUGUUCUUUUACUCUCAAGUUCUCACUUCUCACCUCCUUUUAUGUGUAAUAUAAUUGUAAAUCCGAUUAUUAUUAUAAAAUUUAAUAUAAGAGUAAUGCAAUAGUAUUUAUAAAUUUUAAAUCUUGCAUUUGUCUCUGUCUUGGCUUAUGUGGAGAGUAGGGGUGUACAAAAACGAAUCAAACCGCAAAUCGAGUCAAAUAAAAAAAAAACCCGACUAGUGGUUUGGUUUGACUUGGUUUGGUAUUGGAAAAAAAAACCGACUAUAUUUGGGUUAGCUUGGUUUUAACUAAAAAAAACCAACCCGAGAUUAAACCAACCCAACAUUAUAUAUGUAAUUUUAAAAUUUUAUUUUAUACAUAAAAAUAUUUACUUUGAUAUAAUUUUAAANNNNNNNNNNNNNNNNNNNNNNNNNNNNNNNNNNNNNNNNNNNNNNNNNNNNNUUUUUUAGUUUUACAUUGGUUUAGACAAUUAAAAUGCAUAAUCUAAUUUUAAUUUUCCUUAAAUAUUUAGUAAUGUAACUAAUACUUAUUAAACUUAGCGCGGAGAAGUUCACUAGUUAAUACUAAUGCAAAAAGAAAAUCAAUUCAACACUAAGAAUGACAAUAAUAUUGAAUAUUUGUUCUUUAGUGUAUAUUGGUUUAGACAAUUAAAAUACAUAAUCUAAUUUUAAUUUUUCUUAAAUAUUUAGUAAUGUAACUAAUAUUUAUUAAACUUAUUUUAGCAUAAGUUUGUCUCUGAGAUUUCGGGCAUAGGUUGGGGGGUACUUAUGCAUUUUCCCUUUAAAUUAUGAUCAUUUUUCAUUAUGACUUUGCAAUAUUUAUUUUAUAUGAUGAUUUCAUUAUUAUUUUUUAUUGAAUGGUUUAGUGUCAUCAAUUUUGUGUUAUUUUCUUAAGAAACACCUUAGAUAAUUGUAUUUUGCUUGGACUAAAGAAAUAUUUGGAGCACAAGUUAAUUAUAUGUUUAGAUGCAAACUUUACCGAAAAAAUUAAAAAAUCUGAAAAAAUCCGAGGUUUAUUAGUUUGGUUUGAUUUAUAAAUUUAAAAAUUCGACACAAUGGUUUGGUUUGGUAUUUGAAAAACCCGAACCAACCCGAGGUUGAAAAACCCGAAAAAAAUUGAAUUUUAUUAGUUUGAUUUGGUUUAUAAAUUUAAAAUGUUUACACAAAUAGUUUGAUUUGAUAUUUGAAAAACUCAAAUCAACCCGGUCAUGUACACCCCUAGUGGAUAAUAACUUCUUCAUCGCCCAUUCACCCUCCAAUUUGAACGGUAUUACUUACAAGAAAUUUUAACUAUUGAAAUUUUAACGGUUGCUUACGAUAAUAUUUAUAAAUUUUAACCGUUGCUUACAAGUUAAAAAAAAAACAAAAUAUGUUUUUUGGUGUCUUCUUCAAAAAUUUCAAUAAGUGCAACAAGCCAACAAUCAUUCUAUUGAAGGAAUGCAACACUAUUUCAAUAUCAUUAUGUUAUUAUUAAAUUCUUUAACCAGAUAUUAUCAUUUUACUUUAUUUUAUAAUUUUUCUUGAGAAUCUCUAUUGUUGACAUUCAUAAUUCAUAAGUAUGUAUAUUCUUGUUUGUUUUGUUAUUAAAAUUUAUUCAAUUUAAAUAUGCCAACUAGAAAGUAUGAUUUUGAUUUUAUAAAAAAAAAUUGAAGAUUUAAAUAAAUUCCAAAAAGGAGCCUUUAAUAGAUUUUUAACAAAUAAUAAAAAUCUUCAAUCAAAACAUAUGGAAGGAUGUUCUUCAAAUGAACAAGUCACUAGUAGAAUUGAAUUAGAUGAUAAUAACAUUCAAGUAGAAAAUCUAGAAAAAGCUGGUGAAAAAUGUGACAUAAUUCCUGAGAAUCAAGAACUUCUAAAUAAUUUAAAUAGGUGCAUCCCUACAAAUAAAUAUCACCAAUUUUUUUUUUUUUAAAAAAACCUUUUUUUCCAACUUCCUUGUAGUUUCCUCCUUUCUACCAAACGCAAUUGUUUACAACUAAUAAUAUGAUACAAUUUUUUUUUAACAAUAGCAAAAAGAAGUUCCAUGUCAUGUGUUCAAUAUUCAUAUUGUGUACCUUGAAGAGUUUCUUUUCUCUCUUACUUUUAAUUUAUUUGUACUUUUUGAAGCUUUGCAAAGUUAUUUGCCAAAUAAUUUUGAAAUUAGCUAAAUACCUCCGAUCAAAUUAAUUUCAAAUAUUAUCUUAAAAUUAUUAUUCUUAUCCCUCGUAUUAAAUGAGUACUUUAUUUAUGACGGUGGCUUCUUGAGGGGUACGUUGACCAGUUUAAUUUUGAUGUCCUAUUUUGACCAAUUUUGAUAAUAUAAGCUGUUCAUAUUUUUUGUGCAUUUAGUUGAUCUAACUAAAACCACUAUAAUUAAUUCGAUAAGAAUACAUAUUUUAAAAAUCAAAAUUGAUGUAAUAUCACAAAUAAAUUUGAUGGAAUAAGUAAUGCGUAGAUUAUUAUGUGCACUUUGCCAUUUCCGUACAAAUAGAACAAGCCUUUCAAUUUUCCGAUGACUCAAAUACUAUACGCAUCUAGAUUUGGAGUAACAAAGUUAAAUUAACCAAUGUUUAGUGUGAAUUAAGAUAGAUUUUUAAAAAAAUUCUAACAAUAAAAUCAACAUACUGAAAAAUUACAUAAAAGAAUAUGAUAAAUCACAAUAGUUAACAAUUUAAAAUAUUUAGUAAAAACAUAUCAAAAGAAAUAUUCUUUGACGUUAUAAAUAUUAACUAAGAUAACAAAUUGAAACAUAGAGUAAUUAUUUACCGGUCAAAGAUUCAUUGUUUUAUUUGGAUUUUGUUGUAUUUACACAACUUCUUUUGUGAAAAACUCAAUUACAUGAAGCAAAUAAGCACACACUAUCCACAACUUCCAAUCCUCACAAGUUUUCUAUAUUUCUUUGUUUAUAUUAUAAGCUACCCCACACAAAAGCAAAAAAUCUAAUAAAAUUGCUUUUGCAAAUGAAGAAAAACAUGCAUACAUUGUAUACUACUAACAAUAACAAAAUAUGUUAAGAAAAUCAUAACAAAACGGCCUAACUUGACUUGAUCUAUUUAAACUUUACUUAUCCUAAUAUAUUACUUAUUUGCAUCUUUUGCAAGUCGUUAUUUGAGUUGUUGUAUUGAAUUAGACAGAUUUUGUAUUAAGUGAAUGAUGUUGUUCUGAAUUUAGUAAUUCUUCUAGUAAGAACCUUCUACCGGAUUGUUAUUGUAAUUUCCAUUUUUGAUGUUAUAAAAUAGUGUUUGAUUAAAUAUAUGAAUUAAAUGGAAUUCAUAUAUUUCUAAAGACAACUUCAAUGGCAAUAACAUAGGUUUAAUUUACCAACACUCUAUAUAAAUGUUGCUGAAGAUUAAGGUGACAUUGAAUCUAAUAACAUUUAAACAAUUGCAGGCAAAUGCUUUUGUAGCAAUAUUUACAAAAUUUAUUGCCACUAAUCAUGUCUUUAAAUUGAAAUGUAAAAGGAUAUAUUGCAUAAUAUAUAGACUUUUUUCAAUUUGUUGGAGAAUAUCAAACUGUGUUAUAGUAAAAAAUAAAAUAAAAUAACUCCAAUUAAAUAGCGAUAGGGCACUAACGUUUGGGUGAAAAAAAGUUAGAAAAAACUUCUUAACUUUACAACAGUUCUACAACAAACAGGAAAAGCUAUACAGAAAAUUCUCAUUUUUUUAUUUAAACAAACAACACUCUAUUUUGUACACAUUGAAUAGAGUCAUAGACAAGACAUGCACAUAGGUACAGAUUUUUGCUGUCUAGCUACGAAAUUUAUUCAUCGCCAAAUUCUGCUUUUAUUUUAGUAGUGGUCUUUGAGCACGUACAUAGAGUACUAAUAUUCAUGUACAGCUCCAACAAAAGCAAAAAAACUAUAAUAGGAUUGAUUUAACAAAUCAAGAAAACAUGCAUAUUUUAUAAAUAUAUUGUUUGCAACAUUAUGAAGCAGAAAAUGAGGAUUGUCGUCUCAAAUUUCUAUAGAACUUUGAGAUAAACUCAUCAGCUUUCUCAUCUACGUGAUUAUCCAUUUCUUCCACCUCAUCUCUCACCGGAAAAGGCGAGUCAGUAACCCUCAACUGUCUCCCAAACCCACGAAAAUAAUUAUCAGGUGACGUUAUUUCACCCUUAAUCAUCUUCAAUGCGGCUCUCAUUACCGCCGCAUUCAUCACCACAACAUCCUCUUCGGUAGCAGUGUGUUUUUUCAUGUCCAAAUUUGGGCUGCUAGUGCAGCUAACUCAUAAUACUCAUCCUCAUGUGAGGGCAAAAUGGUAAAAUUACCACUCUCGACGUGAUCGGACCGAAG